RNAcentral lists this ribosomal RNA (467 nucleotides) under uncultured bacterium. Its description in RNAcentral is "partial 16S ribosomal RNA". It matches the Rfam family "Bacterial small subunit ribosomal RNA", at positions 28 to 507 of the family's 1533-position model. The record is from RNAcentral.
GACGAACGCUGGCGGCGUGCUUAACACAUGCAAGUCGAACGGAAAGGCCCUGCUUUUGUGGGGUGCUCGAGUGGCGAACGGGUGAGUAACACGUGAGUAACCUGCCCUUGACUUUGGGAUAACUUCAGGAAACUGGGGCUAAUACCGGAUAGGAGCUCCUGCUGCAUGGGGGGGGUUGGAAAGUUUCGGCGGUUGGGGAUGGACUCGCGGCUUAUCUGCUUGUUGGUGGGGUAGUGGCUUACCAAGGCUUUGACGGGUAGCCGGCCUGGGAGGGUGACCGGCCACAUGGGGACGGAGAUACGCCCAGGACUACACGGGAGGCAGCAGUGGGGAAUAUUGCACAAUGGGCGGAAGCCUGAUGCAGCAACGCCGCGUGCGGGAUGACGGCCUUCGGGUUGUAAACCGCUUUCGCCUGUGACGAAGCGUGAGUGACGGUAAUGGGUAAAGAAGCACCGGCUAACUACGUG